AGUGAACGCUGGCGGUAGGCCUAACACAUGCAAGUCGAACGGCAGCACAGUAAGAGCUUGCUCUUACGGGUGGCGAGUGGCGGACGGGUGAGGAAUACAUCGGAAUCUACUUUUUCGUGGGGGAUAACGUAGGGAAACUUACGCUAAUACCGCAUACGACCUACGGGUGAAAGCAGGGGAUGUUCGGACCUUGCGGGAUUGAAUGAGCCGAUGUCGGCUUAGCUAGUUGGCGGGGUAAAGGCCCACCACGGCGACGAUCCGUAGCUGGUAUGAGAGGAUGAUCAGCCACACUGGAACUGAGACACGGUCCAGACUCCUACGGGAGGCAGCAGUGGGGAAUAUUGGACAAUGGGCGCAAGCCUGAUCCAGCCAUACCGCGUGGGUGAAGAAGGCCUUCGGGUUGUAAAGCCCUUUUGUUGGGAAAGAAAAGCAGCAGGUUAAUACCCCGCUGUUCUGACGGUACCCAAAGAAUAAGCACCGGCUAACUUCGUG
RNAcentral lists this ribosomal RNA (492 nucleotides) under uncultured bacterium. Its description in RNAcentral is "partial 16S ribosomal RNA". It matches the Rfam family "Bacterial small subunit ribosomal RNA", at positions 29 to 507 of the family's 1533-position model. The record is from RNAcentral.